CAGAGGGUGCAAACGUUGUUCGGAAUUACUGGGCGUAAAGCGCGUGUAGGCUGUCUCGCAAGUCGGGUGUGAAAGCCCUGGGCUCAACCUAGGAAGUGCACUCGAAACUGCGAGACUUGAGUCCUGGAGAGGAAGGCGGAAUUCUCGGUGUAGAGGUGAAAUUCGUAGAUAUCGAGAGGAACACCGGUGGCGAAGGCGGCCUUCUGGACAGUGACUGACGCUGAGACGCGAAAGCGUGGGGAGCAAACAGGAUUAGAUACCCUGGUAGUCCACGCCGUAAACGAUGGGUGCUAGGUGUCGCGGGCUUUGACCCCUGCGGUGCCGCAGCUAACGCAUUAAGCACCCCGCCUGGGGAGUACGGCCGCAAGGCUA
RNAcentral lists this ribosomal RNA (372 nucleotides) under uncultured organism. RNAcentral describes it as "bacterial SSU rRNA". It matches the Rfam family "Bacterial small subunit ribosomal RNA", at positions 526 to 896 of the family's 1533-position model. The record is from RNAcentral.